GCCGACAUUUUAAAUCCGCCUCAACUGUUUGCUUCCUUCCGCCAUGACAAGUUUCUCCUUCCUUGAGCACGUUGUGUGUACCAGGAUGCAAAAGGCUGUAGCUAUCAGAUGCUCGCAUUCAUUCUUCAGCCUACAGGCUUGCAGCAUAUGACACUGGGAUUUAAAGCACCGCACCCGUGAAAGGAAACCUCCCACCCCAAGUGCCACUCGUGAGAGUAAUGGAAGAGUUGUCACACCAUGCCCAGGACAACAUAACCAGAGACUUCAGGAGUGAAGAGAAACAGGUAAGAGAAGCCAACCCACGGCUCGGUGCCCA
Long non-coding RNA from Gavialis gangeticus (Gharial), 316 nucleotides. RefSeq lists it as uncharacterized. NCBI's taxonomy places the organism in Eukaryota, Metazoa, Chordata, Crocodylia, Gavialidae. The transcript is spliced from 3 exons. The record is from RefSeq and is a predicted model, not a curated record.